Molecule: long non-coding RNA, 747 nt
Filed under: Gallus gallus (chicken)
Lineage: Eukaryota; Metazoa; Chordata; Aves; Galliformes; Phasianidae
Source: RNAcentral
CAAACAGCUUUUUAUGGAGAAACAAUAUUUUAAUUGUCGGCUUUUACCCUCAAAAGGAAACAGAACUCAGCAUCUUUGUUCACAUCUUAUUGGAUUAAUUGAAUACUUUUAGAUGUUUCCCUAAGGAACCAGCUAAAGGAGACAGAGUAUAACUGCCCAGGUAGCCUUCUCUGGUGUUGCUGAAAAGCCACUUUGCAAAGUAGCUUUAUAAAGUUCUUAGAAUUCAUCCCAAGUUCAGCAUGACUUUAUUCUCACGAGGGUUGCAGAUGAACAUAUAAAUAUAUACUACUCAGUCUCCAGCAUUUGGGUGUCAUUUUAAUGCAUAUUUACAUAUAUUUAAUGCAUCCUAAGAUUCACUGCAAGAAUCUGAGGUCUACGUCAGUUCUGUAUCCAGUGAGUAACUACGACAAAAAUGGAGAAUCUGCAUAGUAACUGAAUAAAUGAAAUUUGUGGCUCUCUUUAAUCUUCUGCUUUGAUCAUUUCUGUUCUGUGCACACUGAACUCAGUCUUUUUUUUUAAAGUACAGAUUUAACAGAAAGAGUUAUCACAGGUUUAUGGCAAGCAGUUGGAACUGUUCUGGCACAGGAUAAUUCAGAAGUCCAUCUCUCCUUCAGGAUUAAACUCUCCACUGUUUCUCAGUCCAAAAGAGUAGCUUGUAUUUUCUGCUCUGCAGAAACUUCAUGUGAAGCUCCUGUAGACAUCUCUGCACCCUCCUCACAUAGGAACUUUCCAUUAUUUUACUCUCCC